RNAcentral lists this ribosomal RNA (253 nucleotides) under uncultured bacterium. RNAcentral describes it as "partial 16S ribosomal RNA". It matches the Rfam family "Bacterial small subunit ribosomal RNA", at positions 524 to 776 of the family's 1533-position model. The record is from RNAcentral.
UACGGAGGGUGCGAGCGUUGUCCGGAAUCACUGGGCGUAAAGGGCGCGUAGGCGGCUCAUGAAGGCUGUGGUGAAAGUCCGGGGCUCAACCUCGGAUCGGCCGUGGCGACUCGUGGGCUGGAGCACUGUAGAGGCGGGUGGAAUUCCGGGUGUAGCGGUGGAAUGCGUAGAGAUCCGGAAGAACACCAGUGGCGAAGGCGGCAUCCUGGACCGACAUUGACGCUGAACGGCGAAAGCUAGGGGAGCAAACGGG